Molecule: ribosomal RNA, 250 nt
Filed under: uncultured prokaryote
Description: partial 16S ribosomal RNA
Rfam family: Bacterial small subunit ribosomal RNA
Source: RNAcentral
UACGUAGGGGGCGAGCGUUGUCCGGAAUGAUUGGGCGCAAAGGGCGCGUAGGCGGCCUGAUAAGUUAGGAGUGAAAGUCCUGCCUUCAAGGUGGGAAUUGCUUUUAAUACUGUCAGGCUUGAGUACAGGAGAGGAAAGCGGAAUUACCGGUGUAGCGGUGAAAUGCGUAGAGAUCGGUAGAAACACCAGUGGCGAAGGCGGCUUUCUGGACUGAAACUGACGCUGAGGCGCGAAAGCGUGGGGAGCAAAC